This 406-nucleotide ribosomal RNA is filed under the name uncultured bacterium. Its description in RNAcentral is "partial 16S ribosomal RNA". It matches the Rfam family "Bacterial small subunit ribosomal RNA", at positions 29 to 526 of the family's 1533-position model. The record is from RNAcentral.
AGUGAACGCUGGCGGUAGGCCUAACACAUGCAAGUCGAACGAGUGGCGGACGGGUGAGUAAUACAUCGGAAUCUACCCUGUCGUGGGGGAUAACGUAUGGAAACUUUCGCUAAUACCGCAUACGAUUGCAUGUGCCGAUGUCGGAUUAGCUAGUUGGGGGGGUAAAGGCCAACCAAGGCGACGAUCCGUAGCUGGUCUGAGAGGAUGACCAGCCACACUGGAACUGAGCCACGGUCCAGACUCCUACGGGAGGCAGCAGUGGGGAAUAUUGGACAAUGGGCGCAAGCCUGAUGCAGCCAUACCGCGGGGGUGAAGAAGGCCUUCGGGUUGUAAAGCCCUUUUAUUGGGAAAGCGGUACCCAAAGAAUAAGCACCGGCUAACUUCGUGCCAGCAGCCGCGGUAAUUC